This 1038-nucleotide long non-coding RNA is filed under the name Rattus norvegicus (Norway rat). RNAcentral's name for it is "long non-coding RNA NONRATT033205". Lineage: Eukaryota; Metazoa; Chordata; Mammalia; Rodentia; Muridae. The record is from RNAcentral.
CCAAGACGAGUGAGCGACCAGGUUUCCUCGCAGCUCCCUCACGGCGUAAAACAACUGACACACUGUAUGGCUGUCGGCCAGAGUCUAUGUGUAGUUUCCAAAACAAUUUACCUCUACUGGAGCAAGGAAAUAAACAAAGAAAAAGGAAGAUAUAGAAUCCAGGAAGCAGAAGACGUAACGCAGGACAGAGAUGAAGGGAUGGUGAAAGAAAUUCCAGAGUGACAUCUGUACAGCAGACAUGGAGAACCACCAGACCAGACUAGAGCCAGAGGACAGAGAAAGCUGCGAGAGUUGCCCCCAGGAGAGCAGACAUGGAGCAAAAACAGUGCUGAAUUUUCUUAGACAGUCGGUCUUAUGAAAAAUUGUCCUGUUGGAAAGGGAGGGAAAUUUUAGCAGUACAUAGAGGCUGAACAAAUGAAAACAAAAAGACGUAGUUAGGUAAAGGAAAAAAAUUAAAAAUUGAACACACAAAAGUCAAGAGCAUUGUACACUUGUGAUUUAUCAGAUAACAAACUGCGUACAGUAAACAAAGUAGCAAUGUAAACGUUAUUAUAAAAGUGAAUUUAACCUAAAGUUAGUGAUUUUUGAUAAUCAGGUGUCAUAUCAGAAAGCUAAUCAUUAGAGCUGAGGGUGCAUUUUUUAGUGAUAGAGCGCUUGAUUGACAUGUUCAAGGCAUGGGUUUGAUCCCCAGGCAUUGCAAAAACAAAAGGAAAGAAAGAGGAAGAAAAACACCUCACUCGUUACUGUUUCAAGAAAGAAUAUAAACAUGGGAAUGUAUUCCAAAAUAAGCAAAUGAGAACUGUGUUUGCAGAACCGCACAGGAGUUGGGGCUUGCAGGGCUAGAUGCAGAACUUUGAGAAACAGUGCAAGGCCUCAGUCACGAGCUUUGGAUUGCUGUCUGGCUAGUGUGUGUACUUAUUCCAAUUGAACAAAAAUUUCAAGACCUUAAGAUGUAGCUCAGAGGUACGGUACUUGACUGGGAUGUACAAGGCUGUGGUUUCAAUCCCUAGUACCAAUAAAAUGAACAUUAAAAUGUGC